CAACAGGGAUUGCCCCAGUAACGGCGAGUGAAGCGGCAACAGCUCAAAUUUGAAAUCUGGCUCUCGGGCCCGAGUUGUAAUUUGUAGAGGAUGCUUUUGGUGAGGUGCCUUCCGAGUUCCCUGGAACGGGACGCCACAGAGGGUGAGAGCCCCGUCUGGUUGGACACCGAGCCUCUGUAAAGCUCCUUCGACGAGUCGAGUAGUUUGGGAAUGCUGCUCUAAAUGGGAGGUAUAUGUCUUCUAAAGCUAAAUACCGGCCAGAGACCGAUAGCGCACAAGUAGAGUGAUCGAAAGAUGAAAAGAACUUUGAAAAGAGAGUUAAACAGUACGUGAAAUUGUUGAAAGGGAAGCGCUUGUGACCAGACUUGGGCUUGGUUGAUCAUCCGGGGUUCUCCCCGGUGCACUCUUCCGGCUCAGGCCAGCAUCAGUUCGCCCUGGGGGACAAAGGCAGCGGGAAUGUGGCUCUCUCCGGGGAGUGUUAU
This 482-nucleotide ribosomal RNA is filed under the name Fusarium solani. Its description in RNAcentral is "eukaryotic LSU rRNA". It matches the Rfam family "Eukaryotic large subunit ribosomal RNA", at positions 66 to 559 of the family's 3401-position model. The record is from RNAcentral. Lineage: Eukaryota; Fungi; Ascomycota; Sordariomycetes; Hypocreales; Nectriaceae.